Molecule: long non-coding RNA, 1263 nt
Filed under: Homo sapiens (human)
Lineage: Eukaryota; Metazoa; Chordata; Mammalia; Primates; Hominidae
Description: HSALNT0053741
Source: RNAcentral
GGUGUAGGUAGGUGGGACUGUCAAGAAGCUAAGUUCUUUGAACAGGUUCAUGUAGUGUGGUCAGGCCCGGGGAGAGGGGCCGGAAAGCUUGAGUCCAGAAAUUAGGAGACUUCUCAGUGCCUGCACGGGAAAGGGGCUGCAGCCUUACAAAGAGUGUGGUGCAUUAGGUGAAACCUAGUGGCUCUAAAGAGAUCCUAGCUAUACUGCAAGGCUCUUUGUGUGCUAAGGGGUUGGGUACAGAGCCCCUACUCCCGUCAUUCUUCGUCACUUCAAUCAGUGCUCACAACGUCCAGCUGUUUUCUUGGUUGGGAUAUUAUGAUAUAAAUAAUACUUCUUUCUUUUAAUGGACUUUGCUCUUUGUAGUCUGAGACUUCUCUUAUUCCUCCAAGAGUGGUCAGUGACCCAGAUGAUAUCUAUUAAAAACCCUAGAAAAUGGUCAAAAGUUUAUGAGCAAAAAUAAAUCAAUCUCGAUUUUGAUCUGGGGAUUGGCAAUCUAUUGGGCUUAAGAAUUUGCCAUCUCUUUACCAAGUUAUCUUGAAUGGAGAGCUAACACCAGUGCGAGGACUUACCUUUCAGACUUCUCUAGUGCUCUAUGCACCACAGGGAAUCAUUUCUCUAGGCCACCUUCUGCUCUAUCUCCCACUGACAGUGUGUUCUUGCUCUGAAAGUACUGAUUGUUCCUUUUGACUUAAAGAUCUUCACCUUCUCUCAAAAGGGUACCUGGACAGUGAUGGGUGUAGACAAGGUCCCAUUUUUACCCUUCUGUGCUUACUGCCUUUUUUUUUUUUUUUUUUGAUACGAUGGUCUCACCUCAUUAGAGGGGGACAUUCUCAAAAGCGAUGGAGUCGGAGGAAGUCAUGGAGAUUUUAGAUCCUCAUCAGAUCGUUGGAGGCAAAGGAGAAGAAAUCUAGAGGAAAUACCAGAGAAGGGAACAAGCCCUUGCUACAUUCAAGAUGCUCAGUGAACCCCAAGCAGACAAAUAUAAAGAAAAUUACACAUAGUUAAACUACUGUACAUCCAAAAUAAUGGGAAAAUCUCAAACUGUCAGAAAAAAAGACACAUUACAUUCAGGGGAACAGCAAUAAGAAUAACAGUGACUUUUCAACAACAACGACAAAAAAAUGGAAGCCAGAGACAAUGGAACUAUUUCUUUAAAGUGCCUAAAGGGGAAAGAAAUAAAAUAAAAGCUAGCCUGUAAUUCUAUCUCCAAUGAAAGCAUAUUCUAUAAAACAAAGUGGAAUAAAGACAUUCUUCAACAAAUAA